GAUGAAGAACGCAGCGAAAUGCGAUAAGUAAUGUGAAUUGCAGAAUUCAGUGAAUCAUCGAAUCUUUGAACGCACAUUGCGCCCCUUGGUAUUCCGAGGGGCAUGCCUGUUCGAGCGUCAUUAUAACCCUCAAGCUCAGCUUGGUGUUGGGGCCUGCUGCACUGGCAGCCCUUAAAAUCAGUGGCGGCGCCAUCUGGCUCUAAGCGUAGUAAUUCUUCUCGCUAUGGAGUCCUGGUGGAUGCUUGCCAUCAACCCCCAAUUUUUCUAUGGUUGACCUCGGAUCAGGUAGGGAUACCCGCUGAACUUAAGCAUAUCAAUAAGCGGAGA
This 327-nucleotide unclassified non-coding RNA is filed under the name soil metagenome. RNAcentral's name for it is "partial contains 5.8S ribosomal RNA, internal transcribed spacer 2, and large subunit ribosomal RNA". The stretch from base 1 to 120 matches the Rfam family "5.8S ribosomal RNA", at positions 35 to 154 of the family's 154-position model. The record is from RNAcentral.